This is a long non-coding RNA of Dermacentor silvarum, 869 nucleotides long. RefSeq lists it as uncharacterized. The record is from RefSeq and is a predicted model, not a curated record. The transcript is spliced from 3 exons. NCBI's taxonomy places the organism in Eukaryota, Metazoa, Arthropoda, Arachnida, Ixodida, Ixodidae.
UUGUAGACGAUGUGUGUGUGUCCACCUAAAUCGCUCUCGUUAGUUAUCUCGACUUCAAAUUUUUGUGUCAGUACUCUUUUUAAAAACUUUUUUUUUUCGUCACUUGUGCAGGGCUGUUUAAAAACCCCCCAAAAUUGCUCUUUCUAUGGCAAAACAUUCAACUCACACUGAGCUUGAGAGCCUCUUCGAAGGGUGCAGACGCAUGGUAGGAGAGCACCUCAAGUGUAACUCGUUUGGCCAUGGCAUUCACCACCAUUUCAUACAUCGAUCUGUGUGUUCUGGAUGCCCAAGCCACAAAAGAUUGUGAACGCCUGUGCAUACAUGAUGAGAACAAAUGAAGCAUAGGCUGGGUGAAGAAUCAAGCACUAUGUCAUCAAUCACGUAGCAAUAAGUACUGAAGGUGGAUCCACAAUGGCCAUGAAGUGGAACAUGAUGUGAUACAAUUCCCACUUGAGUGCAUGAGCGUUUCUUAAAUGCUUAUUGAAAGAUGGAAAGAACUUUGACCAAGACCAAAAAGUUAACCGCCGUAAAGACAGGUGGCCUUGUGCAAGCACUGAUGAGAAGGACUCCGCGUUAAUGGUGCCACGUACGUGAAGGUGCUUGCCCCCGUUGUAAAGCCCUGGAUGGAGACUGUUUCGAAAGGAAGACCUUAUGUCUUUCAGCAAGAUUUGGCUCCUGCCCACACCGCCUGCGUCACCCAGGAGUGACAACUUCUACGACCACGUCACUCCCAACUUGUGGCCUCCUAGUUCUCCAGAUUUAAAUCUGCUCGACUACUGUACUAUGUCUGGAGCGUCGUUGAGAGAGAGGUCAACAAACAGCCACAUAAUACAAAAGACUCACUGAAGGCCACCAUUGCCGACUCAAUG